AAAAAGUCAAACCAUGGGUUUCGUAUCAACUUUAACUGUCCGUCUUAUAUGAAUUUUUUUUUAUAAUUCUAUUUUUAUUGUUGUUAGAUGAUAAAACAUGAUUAAUAUUUUAUGCGUGAUUGUCUUUUUAAUUUUUUUUCAUAAUUUUUUAAAUAAGACGGACGGUUAAAUAUUGAACACGGAAACUAGGG
Molecule: microRNA precursor, 191 nt
Organism: Oryza sativa Indica Group (long-grained rice)
Lineage: Eukaryota; Viridiplantae; Streptophyta; Magnoliopsida; Poales; Poaceae
Rfam family: MIR812 microRNA precursor family
Source: Rfam